UCUCAUGAUAUGCGUAUGUGGUUGGUGCUAUUCUUUCUUGCUUCUAUUUUAGAGCUAAGGUACUUGAAGAUCAGCAGUGCUGAGUGACUCACAGUCACGCUGCCAUCAAGUGGAGCUGCUGGGACCAGGUCCCAGGUGUCCUAAACCCGAGUCAGACUUCAGACGACUAAUGCCUGCCAGUCGGUGUUGAAAAGCUAGCAGAGUCAUGCAGGCGAUGAAGACCAAGAUCAAAGUGCUGGAGAACAAACUUAAGCAGAGCUGGCCCUGUUUGCAAAGUAACACUUUCACAGGCAGUUUUGCUCCCUUGCUGGCCUGCUGGCUUCUGCCCCUCAGAGAGACCUUCUGCAGGACUUAGAUAAUCAAAGGUGCUGUGGCCACUCCACACUUGCAGGAAACUCUAAGGAUGUCUGGUUAUGAGGCUACAGUGAAAAUAGACUUCUCGUAUGCUGACAAAUGAAACCAGCCCAUUAAUACAUAUUUACUGUGCCCCACUUGCUUUUCAAUGUGACUUUGAACCUUGUCCACAACGUCAUGAAUGUGGGAACGCCAGGGCCCAGCUUUGGCCAACAGAAUGAAGGCAAUGGCAGGUUUGAAGAAGCUCCAAACACUACUACUGUUGGAGGAUUUGUGACUGAAAUGGCUUAGAUCUUAACUAAAGAAGCAACCACGUGGAGUCAGUUUCUUCAGGCUCCAGGGCACUCUUAAACCUCCCAAUGCGGACCCUGAGGCUUUCCAGCGUGGACUCACACUUGACUCUUCAGUGAGCUCCAGGCUUUCAACGGCAUCCUCUAGCUCUUCAGUGACCAGAUGGCCAUUUUGCAAUCUUCCAUCCUGCUCAUCUGGCUGGUAAAUCCUUUAUAUAAUCAUGUAUAUAAUUAAAUGUUUCUCCAGUGAACCCUAACUGAGCCAGAUUUGGGUACAAGAAGCAGAGUGUUUGCUGUGAUACUGUCUGACCAUGUUGUUCUGAAGCCUUCAAAACUGCACGAUGGGAGGAGUCUGGGGAGAUCUGGAGAAGCCAGCUGGAGAAGCAAGCCUAGAAUGCUAUGAACUGAGCUUGAUGGGACAUUCUGGUCAGAGUGCAGAAUACCAAAAUGCUGAUGAGAAGGAAGAUGUUAAAGACUGGGCUCAGGAGGUUUCAGUUGGAAACAAAGACUCUACUGGCAGUUGGGCUCAAGGCCAUGUGUGUUAUGCUCUGAUAGAAAAUUUGCCUGUAAUUUGCUCAUGUCCUGAGACUUUGUGGGAGACUUGAGAUUAAGGAUGAUGGGCUAAUUAAUGUGGUGGAGGAAAUUUCAAGGCAGCCCAAAAUUGGGCUGUGGCAUGGGUGUUGUUGAUAGCUUUUAGCUAGCUCGAUAUAGAGAAUCAAGAGCAAAUGGUACAGCUGAGUAAUAUUAAAAGUUUUAAAUUUCACCAUAAAGGAAGCUCCUGUAAAGUCGGGGCUUGCAAAGUUAAAGCAGAAGAGAGCUUGGUUGCUGAAAAGACUGGUUUAGCAUUAAAAAGAAGCCAAGUACUUUGUGUCAGGACAAUAGGAAAGAUGCCUUGAGGUCAUCUGGGAAAACAUUAAGAUUGGGCACUUUGGCUUGCAAAAAUAAAAACUUUGAGAAGACAGCUCCAAGGCACUCUGCGGAAGAAGAGCAGCCUAGGGAACUGAUUCUCCAGGAUUCAAGUCACUGCAUGCAAGCAUCCAGGUGCUCAGAGGCCUCUGCAUCCAUGAUGCAAAAAGGCCCAGCUACUGCUUAAGUUUCAAGAAGAUCUUGGCAUCAUCCACUUGGUGCAGGUUUUACAGGCAUGCAGAAUGCCAGACUUCUGACAUCAUUGAGGUUUCCAACCAGGAUGCAGAAGAAGGCCUGGGAGACCAGGCAGUGAGUUCAUGCGAGGGAAGAGUAUGGAGUGGUGAGGGUGAAGUCAAAAGUGUAGCUCAGAAUCCAGAAAGUUGGAGGUGCCUGGUAGGUGAAACAUCUGAGGAAAUCUGUGAGCAAAGCCAGCCCAAGAAGAGCCAUGAGACCUACAACUACCAGCAAUGUCAUCAGAGCAGGUCUACCCAAGGUGCUCGGAGCUUAUAUCUUACCACAUCUUGUUCCAAGUGAUGGACAAAGAGCCAGAGGAUUUAAUGUUUGCCCUAGUUCAUUUCGGCCUUGCUUUAGUCUCAUUGGUUUCUAUUCCCCCAUUUCACCCU
This is a long non-coding RNA of Chinchilla lanigera (long-tailed chinchilla), 2173 nucleotides long. RefSeq lists it as uncharacterized. The record is from RefSeq and is a predicted model, not a curated record. The transcript is spliced from 3 exons. Lineage: Eukaryota; Metazoa; Chordata; Mammalia; Rodentia; Chinchillidae.